This 498-nucleotide ribosomal RNA is filed under the name uncultured bacterium. Its description in RNAcentral is "partial 16S ribosomal RNA". It matches the Rfam family "Bacterial small subunit ribosomal RNA", at positions 30 to 523 of the family's 1533-position model. The record is from RNAcentral.
AUUGAACGCUGGCGGCAUGCCUUACACAUGCAAGUCGAACGGUAACAGGUCUUCGGAUGCUGACGAGUGGCGAACGGGUGAGUAAUACAUCGGAACGUGCCUAGUAGUGGGGGAUAACUACUCGAAAGAGUGGCUAAUACCGCAUGAGAUCUACGGAUGAAAGCAGGGGAUCGCAAGACCUUGUGCUACUAGAGCGGCCGAUGGCAGAUUAGGUAGUUGGUGGGAUAAAAGCUUACCAAGCCGGCGAUCUGUAGCUGGUCUGAGAGGACGAUCAGCCACACUGGGACUGAGAAACGGCCCAGACUCCUACGGGAGGCAGCAGUGGGGAAUUUUGGACAAUGGACGCAAGCCUGAUCCAGCAAUGCCGCGUGCAGGAUGAAGGCCUUCGGGUUGUAAACUGCUUUUGUACGGAACGAAAAGCCCCGGGUUAAUACCCUGGGGUCAUGACGGUACCGUAAGAAUAAGCACCGGCUAACUACGUGCCAGCCGCCGCGGUAA